This 253-nucleotide ribosomal RNA is filed under the name uncultured prokaryote. Its description in RNAcentral is "partial 16S ribosomal RNA". It matches the Rfam family "Bacterial small subunit ribosomal RNA", at positions 524 to 776 of the family's 1533-position model. The record is from RNAcentral.
UACAGAGGUCCCAAGCGUUGUUCGGAUUCACUGGGCGUAAAGGGUGCGUAGGCGGUCGGGUAAGUCUGAUGUGAAAUCUCACAGCUUAACUGUGAAACUGCAUUGGAUACUAUCCGGCUAGAGGAAUGGAGGGGAGACUGGAAUACUUGGUGUAGCAGUGAAAUGCGUAGAUAUCUGGAGGAACAUCAGUGGCGAAGGCGACACCCUGGACUCAUACUGACACUGAGGUGCGAAAGCGUGGGGAGCAAACAGG